Molecule: ribosomal RNA, 433 nt
Filed under: uncultured bacterium
Lineage: Bacteria
Description: partial 16S ribosomal RNA
Rfam family: Bacterial small subunit ribosomal RNA
Source: RNAcentral
AACGAACGCUGGCGGCAUGCCUAACACAUGCAAGUCGAACGAAACCUUCGGGCCUAGUGGCGCACGGGUGCGUAACGCGUGGGAACCUGCCCUUAGGUUCGGAAGAACUCCCCGAAAGGGGUCCUAAUACCGGAUAAUGUCUUCGGACCAAAGAUUUAUCGCCUGUGGAUGGGCCCGCGUUGGAUUAGCUGGUUGGUAGGGUAAAAGCCUACCACGGCGACGAUCCAUAGCUGGUAUGAGAGGAUGGUCAGCGACACUGGUGCUGAGACACGGCCCAGAAUCCUACGGGAGGCAGGAGUGGGGAAUAUUGGAAAAUGGGGGGAGGGAUGAUGCAGCUAUGACGGGAGAGUGAUGAAGGCUUUAGGGUUGUAAAGCUCUUUUACCCGGGAUGAUAAUGACAGUACCGGGAGAAUAAGCUCCGGCUAACUCCGUG